Molecule: ribosomal RNA, 255 nt
Filed under: uncultured bacterium
Lineage: Bacteria
Description: partial 16S ribosomal RNA
Rfam family: Bacterial small subunit ribosomal RNA
Source: RNAcentral
UACGUAGGGUGCGAGCGUUGCCCGGAUUUAUUGGGCGUAAAGGGCGCGUAGGCGGCUCGGCACGUCCGUUGUGAAAUCGCCCGGCUCAACUGGGCGGGGUCGGCGGAUACGGCCGAGCUGGAGCAAGGCUAGGGGGUAAUGGAAUUCCCGGUGUAGUGGUGGAAUGCGUAGAUAUCGGGAGGAACACCAGUGGCGAAGGCGGUUACCUGGAGCUUUGCUGACGCUGAUGCGCGAAAGCGUGGGGAGCGAGUCCGG